UGGGGAUAUUGCACAAUGGGCGAAAGCCUGAUGCAGCGACGCCGCGUGGGGGAUGAAGGCUUUCGGGUUGUAAACCUCUUUCGCUAUCGAACAAGGCCCGCUUAGGGUGGGUUGAGGGUAGGUGGAGAAGAAGCGCCGGCUAACUACGUGCCAGCAGCCGCGGUAAUACGUAGGGCGCGAGCGUUGUCCGGAAUUAUUGGGCGUAAAGGGCUUGUAGGCGGCUUGUUGCGCCUGCUGUGAAAACGCGGGGCUUAACUUCGGGCGUGCAGUGGGUACGGGCAGGCUUGAGUGUGGUAGGGGUGACUGGAAUUCCAGGUGUAGCGGUGGAAUGCGCAGAUAUCUGGAGGAACACCGAUGGCGAAGGCAGGUCACUGGGCCAUUACUGACGCUGAGGAGCGAAAGCAUGGGUAGCGAACAGG
Molecule: ribosomal RNA, 419 nt
Filed under: bacterium
Lineage: Bacteria
Description: partial 16S ribosomal RNA
Rfam family: Bacterial small subunit ribosomal RNA
Source: RNAcentral